RNAcentral lists this ribosomal RNA (1453 nucleotides) under Variovorax paradoxus. Its description in RNAcentral is "bacterial SSU rRNA". It matches the Rfam family "Bacterial small subunit ribosomal RNA". Lineage: Bacteria; Pseudomonadati; Pseudomonadota; Betaproteobacteria; Burkholderiales; Comamonadaceae. The record is from RNAcentral.
CGGCUGCAUACCAUGCAGUCGAACGGCAGCGCGGGAGCAAUCCUGGCGGCGAGUGGCGAACGGGUGAGUAAUACAUCGGAACGUGCCCAAUCGUGGGGGAUAACGCAGCGAAAGCUGUGCUAAUACCGCAUACGAUCUACGGAUGAAAGCAGGGGAUCGCAAGACCUUGCGCGAAUGGAGCGGCCGAUGGCAGAUUAGGUAGUUGGUGAGGUAAAGGCUCCANCCAAGCCNNUUCGAUCUGGUAAGCUGGUCUGAGAGGACGACCAGCCACACUGGGACUGAGACACGGCNNNCCAGACUCCUACGGGAGGCAGCAGUGGGGAAUUUUGGACAAUGGGCGCAAGCCUGAUCCAGCCAUGCCGCGUGCAGGAUGAAGGCCUUCGGGUUGUAAACUGCUUUUGUACGGAACGAAACGGCUCUUUCUAAUAAAAGAGGGCUAAUGACGGUACCGUAAGAAAUAAGCACCGGCUAACUACGUGCCAGCAGCCGCGGUAAUACGUAGGGUGCAAGCGUUAAUCGGAAUUACUGGGCGUAAAGCGUGCGCAGGCGGUGAUGUAAGACAGUUGUGAAAUCCCCGGGCUCAACCUGGGAACUGCAUCUGUGACUGCAUCGCUGGAGUACGGCAGAGGGGGAUGGAAUUCCGCGUGUAGCAGUGAAAUGCGUAGAUAUGCGGAGGAACACCGAUGGCGAAGGCAAUCCCCUGGGCCUGUACUGACGCUCAUGCACGAAAGCGUGGGGAGCAAACAGGAUUAGAUACCCUGGUAGUCCACGCCCUAAACGAUGUCAACUGGUUGUUGGGUCUUCACUGACUCAGUAACGAAGCUAACGCGUGAAGUUGACCGCCUGGGGAGUACGGCCGCAAGGUUGAAACUCAAAGGAAUUGACGGGGACCCGCACAAGCGGUGGAUGAUGUGGUUUAAUUCGAUGCAACGCGAAAAACCUUACCCACCUUUGACAUGUACGGAAUUUGCCAGAGAUGGCUUAGUGCUCGAAAGAGAACCCGUAACACAGGUGCUGCAUGGGCUGUCGUCAGCUCGUGUCGUGAGAUGUUGGGUUAAGUCCCGCAACGAGCGCAACCCUUGUCAUUAGUUGCUACAUUUCAGUUGGGCACUCUAAUGAGACUGCCCGGUGACAAACCGGAGGAAGGUGGGGAUGACGUCAAGUCCUCAUGGCCCUUAAUAGGUGGGGCCUACACACGUCAUACAAUUGGCNUGGUACAAAGGGUUGCCNAANCUCCCCGAGGGGAGACCUUAAANUCCCAUAAAACCAGUCGUAGUCCGGAUCGCAGUCUGCAACUCGACUGCGUGAAGUCGGAAUCGCUAGUAAUCGUGGAUCAGAAUGUCACGGUGAAUACGUUCCCGGGUCUUGUACACACCGCCCGUCACACCAUGGGAGCGGGUUCUGCCAGAAGUAGUUAGCUUAACCGCAAGGAGGGCGAUACCACGACAGGUCG